RNAcentral lists this ribosomal RNA (274 nucleotides) under uncultured bacterium. RNAcentral's name for it is "partial 16S ribosomal RNA". It matches the Rfam family "Bacterial small subunit ribosomal RNA", at positions 523 to 796 of the family's 1533-position model. The record is from RNAcentral.
CUACGGAGGGUCCAAGCGUUAUCCGGAUUCAUUGGGUUUAAAGGGUUCGUAGGCGGAUAAAUAAGUCAGUGGUGAAAUCCCGAAGCUCAACUUCGGAACUGCCAUUGAAACUGUUUAUCUUGAAUUUAGUUGAAGUGGGCGGAAUAUGACAUGUAGCGGUGAAAUGCAUAGAUAUGUCAUGGAACACCAAUAGUGAAGACAGCUCACUAAGCUAAUAUUGACGCUGAUGAACGAAAGCAUGGGUAGUGAACAGGAUUAGAAACCCUAGUAGUCC